RNAcentral lists this ribosomal RNA (497 nucleotides) under uncultured bacterium. Its description in RNAcentral is "partial 16S ribosomal RNA". It matches the Rfam family "Bacterial small subunit ribosomal RNA", at positions 28 to 507 of the family's 1533-position model. The record is from RNAcentral.
GAUGAACGCUGGCGGCGUGCCUAAUACAUGCAAGUCGAGCGAACGGACGAGAAGCUUGCUUCUCUGAUGUUAGCGGCGGACGGGUGAGUAACACGUGGAUAACCUACCUAUAAGACUGGGAUAGCUUCGGGAAACCGGAGCUAAUACCGGAUAAUAUUUUGAACCGCAUGGUUCAAAAGUGAAAGACGGUCUUGCUGUCACUUAUAGAUGGAUCCGCGCUGCAUUAGCUAGUUGGUAAGGUAACGGCUUACCAAGGCAACGAUGCAUAGCCGACCUGAGGGGGUGAUCGGCCACACUGGAACUGAGACACGGUCCAGACUCCUACGGGAGGCAGCAGUAGGGAAUCUUCCGCAAUGGGCGAAAGCCUGACGGAGCAACGCCGCGUGAGUGAUGAAGGUCUUCGGAUCGUAAACCUCUGUUAUUAGGGAAGAACAUAUGUGUAAGUAACUGUGCACAUCUUGACGGUACCUAAUCAGAAAGCCACGGCUAACUACGUG